Molecule: ribosomal RNA, 465 nt
Filed under: uncultured bacterium
Lineage: Bacteria
Description: partial 16S ribosomal RNA
Rfam family: Bacterial small subunit ribosomal RNA
Source: RNAcentral
CCUACGGGUGGCAGCAGUAGGGAAUCUUCCACAAUGGGCGAAAGCCUGAUGGAGCAACGCCGCGUGGGUGAAGAAGGUCCUCGGAGCGUAAAACCCUGUUGUUAGAGAAGAAAGUGCGUGAGAGUAACGGGUAACGUUUCGACGGUAUCAAAACAGAAAGCCACGGCUAACUACGUGCCAGCAGCCGCGGCAAUAAGUAGGUGGCAAGUGUUAUCCGGAUUUAUUGGGCGUAAAGGGAGCGCAGGCGGUAUUUUAAGUCUGAUGUGAAAGCCGUCGGCUUAAACGGAGUAGUGCAGUGGAAACUGGUAGACUUGAGUGCAGGAGAGGUGUGUGGAACUCGUGGUGUAGCGGUGAAAUGCGUAGAUAUCAGGAAGAACACCGGUGGCGAAGGCAGCUCUCUGGUCUGUAACUGACGCUGAGGUUCGAAAGCGUGGGUAGCAAACAGGAUUAGAUACCCUGGUAGUC